AACAGUUCGAUAGCAUUUUGUUUAGCCGAGCAAGAUAUAUUUAAUACCCAGCCAUUAUUUGGCUUGUGCCUUGCCAAACAAUAUAAAUCAAGUUGCAUAUCUCAUUGCAACACAGAGUAUUCUUAUAGGUAAAAGUAACUAACUGAAAGGAGGAAACAUUUAUGUUUCAAUCACCGAGACACCUGAUUGGUUUACAAAAUGAUAGAUGCAUGUCCAAAGAUUCAUUGUUUGCUCCAUUACAAAAAAUGCCCAGUUGACAAGACACCAUAUAGGUUUACAAAAUGAUAAAAGACACAUUGUUCUUCUCCAUUACACAAACUGCCUAGCUGACGCAAACUGCCAUCUUCAUGAUUACUUCCUGGUCCUCUUGUAUGUCAUUCCUACAAAGGAUAAAAGGGUCGCCGAUGAAUUCAUGCAUUCAUUGAGAUAAUGGAAUAAAUAAUAAUUGUAUAAAGCACCAAUGGCAAAAAAAAAACUGGGAUUUUAGUAUUAUAAAAACAGGGCAUUUAGAUACAUUAAAAUUGAGCAUUUUUCCAGGCCUCUGAGGGCAUCAGCACUCCCGGCCGUCUGAUCGCUAAUUCUAACCAUUUUUGGCCGUCAGAUUAGCUGUGAAUCACACCUAAACAGCCUUCGUUCGCUAUUAACGUAGACGAACCGUUACGGGCCGCUGCUCUGGUCGCUUUUUCUGCUGUCUCGGGUUAAAUUGGGCCGCAUGGGCUGUAACAGACUCCCUUAUGGGUCUCUAGAUGUCUGCACGUUCUGAUAUCUAAAGCCAUCGAUCAUUUCCUCCGCUAGGUCGCACUCCCGCACCCUUCGCAUGGCGGCGGCUCUUCCCAUCGGACCGAUUUCGAAGCGACGGAUUCCCAUGGCGAGAGCCGACCUCGCUGGGUUUGCACAGCGCCUCGCCUGGCGACGACACGGGUUCUGUUUGGUUGCAAGGCGCGACGGGAUGGUGUGUGGCGGCGAACAGUGUCCCGUCUUUGGCGUUCUCCUCCUCGGUUGCUGAGAUGGCCGGUCUCGGGAAGGCAGUCGAUGCCGGCGCGGCCAAGAAGGCGACGUCGAGGAUCUCCAAGGCCGGGCUACAGUUUUUCCUCGGCAGGAUCGCCAGAUUCCUCAAGGCCGGCAAGUACACAAGUUUCUCGGCGCACGAGUACCUCGCCACUGAGGUGCGUUUCUCCCUCAUCUCAUUCUUGCCCUUGUUCUUUGAUUUUCUAUUCCUCAACCCCAUUCGUUCCUGGGUUCCCAUUAAUCAGGCUAUUCUUAGAUCUUUUUUAGACUGUACGGUCGAUUAGUAACUAAUGCCUGAAUAUUUGUGCUAAUCUUGUCAUUCUUCCCCAUUGACGCAGGUACUGGAACUGGCCGGCAACACUGCCAGGCACAACAACAAGACCCGUAUCAUGCCCCGCCACAUUCAGCUCGCCAUGCGCAAUGAUGCUGAGCUGACCAAGUUGCUCGGCGGUGCCACCUGUAGCUGUAGGUGUGGCUCUCGCCGCGUGGAUACAUUUCAGAGCUGCAACAUCCUUCCAAGUAAUGUCUCCUCGCUCUUGUCCUUCUCGCUAUCAUACUCCGAUAGGUGUGAGUGAUAGCAAUGCCCAAUUCUCCAUGCUCACCACCACUUUACACCGUGGGCUGAUACUCGCUCGGUCCAACAAUAAAUCAAGCACAACUACAACUAAGGAUGGCAAUUUUAUCCAUGGACAUGGAUAUCCGACCCGAAUGGAUAGGGUUUGGAUAUGCUUUUGUGUCCAUGGGCAGCGCCCAAACCCGACCCGAUUGUUCGUGGAUAGGGCAUGAAUAUAAUCUUGUACCCAUGGAUAUACCCAAACCCGACCCGAUGGUAUGACUUAAUGGAGGAAAAUCUUCUAUCCCUGCCCCACGGUCUUAUGUCCCACAACAAUUUUACACUUUUUUUAUCUAAAACAUGCAUAAGAAAUUACACAAUUCCCAUCGUAACUUUUAUUAGUUGACAUUCAAUCCCCUCCGUAACAUACUCCAACACCCCUUCCCUUAUUUUUACCUCCUUAAAUGACUCGUCAUUCUCAUCUGUUCGAAAAAUACUAAAUGAUCUUAAGUUGUUAGUGGAUGUUGAUUUACUAUAAGUGAAGCCUAGCUUGCCACGACGUGAAGGAUGGAAGAGUUUAUGUUAAUAUUGUGUUAUGUCAUAUUUAUAUGUCUCGAGAGGACCCAAUGGAUAUCCAGUGGAUAUGGAUAUCCAUCGGAUUUGGACAUGGACACAAUUUUUCACCCAUGGAUUUUUUCAUGGGCGGGCAAAGACUGUCUUCAUGGAUAUGGAUAUGGAUUUGAUAUUGUUCAACCCGAUCCAAACCCGACCCAUUGCCAUCCUUAACUACAACUAUGGCCUUCACUACCUUAGCUUUUUGGAGUUGGCACUAAAGUUGUUUGAUGAAAAUCCAAUGAUGGUGAUGUGCAGUAUGAAGUUAUCCCUCAUGAAUAUAUCCAGUCGAAUGUUAAUCCUCGCUGGUCACAAUUAAACUUCACCUUCUCAUUCACAAUUAAACUUCACCUUCUCAUUCACAAUUAAACUUCACCUUCUCAUGAUACCAUCUUUGCUUUGUUUGAUAAUAAGACAUGUCAUAGGGGGCCAAGCAACACAAAUCUGAAGAACCAUGUUACCCAACUUGCUCUCAUAUGCUACAAAAAAAAAGAGGAUAUACACGAGAAUUACACUUCAUAGUUGAUUUCAUAACAUCAUAUACAUGUAUUGGUAUAUUCUCACCUCAAUGUUAGUAGUUGGCUGUAAAUAACUUGUCUAUCAUCCAUCUAGCUCGACGUGAUGGUUAUUUGUUCAGUCCCCGUGAAUUUAGCAUAAUCAAUCUCCAACCAUAAAUAGCUGGUUUUGAUUCAUCCAUCUUGCUCUUAUCUCUCAAUCUCCCUAAAUUUAUCAUGAUCAAUCUCCAUCUAUAACUAACUGGUUUCGAUACAUCCAUCAAGCUUGGCAUGACGGUUAUCUACUCAUUCUCUGGAAUUAGCAUGAUCAAUCUCCAAUUUAUGAGUAUUUUAACCCAAUUCAUUCUCUAAAUAUUCCACUCGUUAUCUCAUGUUGUCUGUAGGGAACACAAGACGUACGGACAUGAGCUUGGAGCAACUCCGUCCGUGUCGGCUCCUUUUCAUUUAUUUAUUUUGUGAAUUCCUUCUAAUUUAUUCAUGAUCUUACUUGUGCUACUAUUCUUGGCCACCAUUCCUUUUCUGCUUGCAUGUUUGGAGCCAUGAGGAUUGCCACUCGAUAAGCGGGGGCAUACCCCAGAUGGUAACUUGCCCGAAUGAGCCGAUGAGAGGCACAAAGUUCCUUUGUAGCUCAGGCUACAUGGAACCUCUUAUCCUCAACCCUUCAGCCUUGCUUUGAGAUUCGUACUCUCCAACUAACUUACAACAAGAAGAUUUUUCUUUUUUGUUUCUCUAAAAUGAAACAACAUAUGAACUUCAAACUUUGCAGAUCGAACAAACAUUAGAACAUCAAUGUGUGAAAAAACUUUAUGAUUUUUUGGUCUGAUAUAAAUAUAGAAAAUGAGAUUUUGUUUGACUAAAAAUAUUAUUGUAAGUAUUUAAAAUGCAUGAAAAAAUCUGAAAGUUUUUUCCGAGAUUGUAGUUAGAAUGUAUUGUUGUUCUGCAAAAUUUGAAGUUUAUAUGUUGUGUCGUUUGAGAGAAACAAAAAAGACAAAUGCGUCUGCAUGGAUCGCGAUGCAUAAAUAGAUGGCAAAGAUAAGGGGUACCGUGUAGCCUGAGCUACAGAAAACCAUACUCAGAGGUGAUGGUGAAAGGCUAAUGAUGGCUUCUUUGACCACCACUUGAGCCAUCCAUGGUCUUCUACUCCUCACCAAUUCACCAUCGCCUGCCUUAGACUACACCGACACCCUACGGUUUCCUUUAUUUGGUGUUUUCUGUAGAAGUACCGAAGCGUCUUUAGAGUUUCACAAUAACUCGGCCAUUUUGUUAAUGGAUGAUAUUCAGAAAUCUAACGCAUAUGUAUAUAUAUUAGUUGUAACUACCGUUAUGCUAAAAAUGCAAUUUUGUUCAUUUUGCUUUUUACUCACAUGCGGUGCUGGACACGAAUGCAAAAAAAAAAGUUUACAUGACUCACAUGUUUCAUGCCUCUACAUAUUUAUUGAAAUUUCUGCCAUUCUACUGUAAAAAUGAAUGGCUGCGGCAAUUCGCGCCAUCAUGCUUUCAAAUACCAUUGAACAUGCAUGAUACUUUAUUUAAGUUAGCUUGCAUAAUUUUUGUCUAUGUAUUUACAAAAAAACAUCCAUUUUAAUGAACAAAUAGACGGGCGCAGCAACGCGCGCCAUCAUGGUCUAGUGUUCUAAUUAGAAUCUGUGAUGGGUUAGACAUAAUAAAGCAUCAAUGCCACACCGACCCACCAUAUAGCCUGUAUCAAUCUCCUCAAGUCGCAGACCAGGAAGUAUAUUAAAUGGAAAAGGAGCAUAUGCAUCAUCUGGCCACAAGGCAACAAUUUAGCAUGUCCAGACACCCAAUUAUUGGGGGCAACACAUCCACCGCGGACAGAUGGAAGUCAAUUUUGAAGAAAAGACUGGGCUAGUUAUCUUUUUUUUCUUAUCUGGGGUGGAAAGACCGCACUUUGCUGCACUAGACAGCAAUACAUUAGGCAAAAUGAUUACUAUCUAAUACACAGCUAGAAGUUUCAAUGAUGAGUGCAGCAUGGCCUGGGAAAAGCAUUCUCAAAAACCCACUUACAUCAGGAGGUUAUACAUACUUUCCCUAUGUUAGAAAUGAAUUUCAAGGAGAAGAAUCUAUCCGCAAUCAUUUCUAAAUGCAGUACUAAGCACAUGAGGACCUGCAAAAUACCAAACAAAAAGUAUCUGAACUUACACUGCACCUGACUAUUAUAUUCAUAAAAACAUCGGAGAAAAGCAUCUGUACUUUAGUGCCACAAAUUAGAUUAAAUUGAUGACCAUCCUCUGAUCCCACCGCACUAAGUUGUGGCAAUUGCGGGACAGAUGUGGGCGAAUUAACAAUGACCUUUUUAGAACUAACUUGCUUAUGCCAUAUGCAUGGUAGGAUCACCAUUAAGCACCUG
RNAcentral lists this long non-coding RNA (5056 nucleotides) under Triticum aestivum (bread wheat). Its description in RNAcentral is "long non-coding RNA (TAES_LNC018937)". The record is from RNAcentral. Lineage: Eukaryota; Viridiplantae; Streptophyta; Magnoliopsida; Poales; Poaceae.